RNAcentral lists this transfer RNA (72 nucleotides) under Lachnospira sp. Its description in RNAcentral is "tRNA-Thr". It matches the Rfam family "tRNA". From Rfam's summary of the family: Transfer RNA (tRNA) molecules are approximately 80 nucleotides in length. Lineage: Bacteria; Bacillati; Bacillota; Clostridia; Lachnospirales; Lachnospiraceae. The record is from RNAcentral.
GCUUCUGUGGCUCAAAGGUAGAGCACUUCACUCGUAAUGAAGGGGUUGUGGGUUCGAUUCCCAUCGGAAGCU